RNAcentral lists this unclassified non-coding RNA (660 nucleotides) under Hevea brasiliensis (rubber tree). Lineage: Eukaryota; Viridiplantae; Streptophyta; Magnoliopsida; Malpighiales; Euphorbiaceae. The record is from RNAcentral.
UUGGGAUACCUGGACCCAGAAUACUUUCACACAAGUCAAUUGACUGAGAAGAGCGAUGUCUAUAGCUUUGGAGUAGUACUUGUGGAGUUACUAACGGGUAAGAAAGCACUUUCGUUUGAUCGACCUGAGGAGGAGAGAAGUCUAGCGAUGCAUUUUCUUUCUUCAAUGAAAGAGGGUAAAUUGUUUGAAAUUCUUGAGAAGCAUAUUGUGAAUGAGGUAACGAAAGAGCAGGUACUGGAAAUGGCUCAGCUGGCGAAACGGUGCUUGAGUUUGAAAGGGGAGGAAAGGCCUCCUAUGAAGGAAGUAGCAAUGGAACUGGAAGGCCUCCACAGGAUGAAGAUGCAUCCAUGGGUGGCAGUGAAUACAGAGGAAACAGAGUACUUGCUGGCCAGAGAGGAAUCCAGUGCUUUUGGUGAUGGGGACGGAUACACUGCAUCGAGUUCUGGGAUUGAUAGCAUGAAGGACCAUUUAACUGUAUCAAUUGGUGGUGGCAGAUGAAUUUAAUUGUACGUGGAAAUAUCAAACCGAGACAAUUGCUUGAUUAAUCGUAGUUUAUUUAUUUUUAUCAGAGAAUCGUAGUUUAUUUAACUGAUAUUAAACAUAUAAAUUAAUAUUAUAAUAGCUCAUGUAUAUGUAUGGAUCCAAUAGAAAAAAAAAAAA